GAUGAACGCUGGCGGCGUGCCUAAUACAUGCAAGUCGAGCGAACAGACGAGGAGCUUGCUCCUCUGACGUUAGCGGCGGACGGGUGAGUAACACGUGGAUAACCUACCUAUAAGACUGGGAUAACUUCGGGAAACCGGAGCUAAUACCGGAUAAUAUAUUGAACCGCAUGGUUCAAUAGUGAAAGACGGUUUUGCUGUCACUUAUAGAUGGAUCCGCGCCGCAUUAGCUAGUUGGUAAGGUAACGGCUUACCAAGGCAACGAUGCGUAGCCGACCUGAGAGGGUGAUCGGCCACACUGGAACUGAGACACGGUCCAGACUCCUACGGGAGGCAGCAGUAGGGAAUCUUCCGCAAUGGGCGAAAGCUUGACGGAGCAACGCCGCGUGAGUGAUGAAGGUCUUCGGAUCGUAAAACUCUGUUAUUAGGGAAGAACAAAUGUGUAAGUAACUAUGCACGUCUUGACGGUACCUAAUCAGAAAGCCAAGGCUAACUACGUG
RNAcentral lists this ribosomal RNA (497 nucleotides) under uncultured bacterium. RNAcentral describes it as "partial 16S ribosomal RNA". It matches the Rfam family "Bacterial small subunit ribosomal RNA", at positions 28 to 507 of the family's 1533-position model. The record is from RNAcentral.